AAUAACCUGUUAUGACAUUUCCAACAACCUGUAAUGCAUUGUGGUAUACAUCACGUGCUGUUUACGUACGUGCUAUUAUUAGAGUGCUACUUCAGUCCAUCUUACUGUAUGUAUGUGAGUGCUAUGUAAAACAGUGCUAUCAGUUGGCUGCUAGCACAGAACAUCCCAGUAGAAUGGAGAACAUAAUACCCAUCCAUCAUAGUCCCAGCACAAUACUUCAUGGAUCCGGGAAUUGAACACUUCAUCCCCAUUCCAGAAUGUGUGUGCAAUCAAUGCCAUUGGGGUCAACUGGUAAGUAUGAUUCAAUGUGUGUCCAGUCCCCCUCGGUGAGUCACUGAACCAUUACGGCAUCCUGUGACUCCCACUUAGGAAUUUGUUCAACCUCGUUAUUGUCUACUAGGUCAAACCAGUCAUGCCAUGUCUCUGGUUGGUAGCCUUGAGGUGAAAGAAUGGCGAUGGUAUCGGGUUUCAGAUCGUGUUUUCGGAUGAUUUCAUGGUGAACGCAGCGGCUGUCAUCACCUCUACAAAGGGAUCCAUGCGAACCGUCCUGAUGGCGUUCUGUCGGAAGUCAGCGCAUCCCCGUCUCAAAAUGUUGACAUCACUCUGACAGUAGGCUAAGAGUUCUUCUUGCAAGUCAAACAAGGCUCCUUCUUGAACUUUUUGGGUAUGCCACUGGAGGGAGGCAGUGCGUUCCGCGGGAGACAUGCCAUUGGGAUCGUACAUGACGGCUGGUGGAUAGGGACCUCUGUAGGUCUGAUUGGCUUCAGUAUUGAAAAAGUGUUGAAAAUACCCUUUCUUCAGUUCAUUCAGUCCAAAGGUCUUUGGAAAUGCUUUCAGUGGGUUUAGUAUGAAAUUCAAACUGUCUUCGAAACACAAUCGUCCCAGGGUCACCUGUAAAACCUGUUGUCCAUUCCGAAUCUUGGUGGGGAGUUUCACCAGAUGUGGGUACAUGCCCUUCAGGAUCAAGUGCAAAUCAUAGGAUCGUGCAUUAUGUGCCAUCACAUAAAUCAGCUCCUCCUUCUGGACUGUGGUGUUCCUGUUCUUCGUCUUUGUCUUCUCCUUCCCUUUUUCCUCCAACGGGGUGGGCGCGUCCACCUCCAUGGCAUCCUCCCCCUUGCCCUCCUCCUCCUCCUGGGUUGAUGAACGUCGCUGACGUUUUGUGGGUGAAUGAGUUGAGAGGACUCCAUCCUGUUUUCUUUUGCGUAUGUUGCCCUCCUCCUCCUCUUGGUUCUUCUUCCUGGGUUUUUCUGCCAAAGUCGUCACGUGGUGGGGCCUCGAAACAUGAUCUCGCGGCUGGGACCAUAACUUUCUUCUCUCCAUGGACAGUGUUUGCACAACUCCUUGCUCGCUUCACCGAUGCAUCGUCCACAUCCUAACUGCACCACGCACAAAUUUGGGAUGUGCUCCCCCAUCUCUUGCAUGCAUUCAAAAUCAUAGAAGACGUAUUUGAUGUUGUCUCGUCGGUUUUGGCUGUAGCAUUCUUCCUCUUCCCCCUCUUCCUCCCCUCCACGGAGGGGCGUCAUGUAACAGCGAUGGUCUGGGGUCUGCACCACAGCCCCUUUGUGGGAGAAGAAGUAAUCUUCUUCUUCUCCAAAUCGGCCCUUUUAAGGGCCACCCAUCUCUCCCGAAAGAAUGCUUUUCAUCCUUUGCGUUGACUACCCUCUCAUCAUCCACCCACCAAAAAAAAAAAAAAAAAACCUCUUCCUCCUCCACCUCCUCCCUCCCUCCCUCCUCCUCCCUCCUCCUCCUCCCUCCCACCUUCCCGCCUUCCCGCCCUCUCUUCUCCCACCCUCUUGGAUGGGGAGAUGGCCCCUCGGAAACGGAAGUGACGUCAUCUUGGAUGCGCGCGCAUGAAACUCAAUGCCCUGCGCAGGCCACGUGACCUGAUGACGUCAUCAGAGGUCACAGAGGUCACGAGACCAAACCGACCAAUCAGAAGCCAGGAGCGGUUCCAGCCCGCCGCCACCAACUACUCUCAUCAUCAAUUGUGGAAGGACGACGUCCUGAGGGCGGCGCUUUGAAGUGGUGAGGUUUUGAGUGACCUUCUAUGAAGAUCAAGGUCACUGGAUUGGUCUGUCUUAAGGUACUUUUGCUCCUUUCUGUACUGAGGAAAUAAUGUGUGAGUAUAACAUGUUUGUAAGAGCUUACACCUAUGUUUUCAACUAAAAAUAAUUAAACAUGUGAUUCUCUUAAAUUGAGGUCAAGGUCAUUACACCAAAAGUGCUUAUAACUUUCUGUUUAUGGUAGCUAGUGGAAUAGCACUUUCUGUUUUGAAGUUUACAUUACAACUUUCUUAGUAAUGUUGGUGCAGAACUGUUUUUAAGUUGUGAUGCAUUAAGCUUAUGUUAUGUUUGGCCUUAACUACAAUUAAGUCAGUUUGUGUGUAUUCCCAUUACAGAGGUGAAGUUAUCAAACCAAGAGUGCUUACAUUGGCAGCUUGAGGCACACGACUAAUUUCUACUGCAUUUGGCAACAUGAGGUAUCCGGGAUGAAUAUAAAACAUGUAUUGAUGAGGUCAUCUGUCACUUGAGUAGAUGGAAGUUAAAAUGGGUCAUGAAACACGUUUGUUGUGGUAAAGUUUUCGCUAUUCAAGAAAAAUUAUGAUGGGACUAGUUCUGUAUUGCAUGAAAUUUAAUAUAUUUUUUCAUAUAUGUUUUACAUGUUUAUCCUUGCAUCUGUAGGUAGUUGUAGAAUAGCAUUACUGUUGUAAAUAUGUAAGCUUAGUGCCAUAAGAUGGAAAUGGAUCCCAUACACCUGGGAAUAUUGUAACAAUUUAAACCUUUAAAAUUAUGGUCGCGGUUGUUUGAUCAACAGCCAUGGCGAGAUGAAGUAUGAAAUGCAUGGCUUCGAUGCUGUCAGUGCCAUUCAAAUUGAUUAGCAGAGACAGAAAGCAUUAACUAAGAGAAACAAAACGCGUUGAUGGCAGAAAAUCAAUGUUACGACAAUACUAAUUCAACAUGUCACCAAUUUGUACGUGCUUUCUUGUAACGUUGUCUUUCUUUUUCAUUCAGUAUGAAUCACUUGAUCCACCAAGACUUGAACGAGCUGUGAAGGACAAGUAGUUGGUACCUGACAAAGGCCACGGUGGUGAACAUUACUUGGACCGGGUACCACCUUGAAAACUCGCAGUUGUGCCCUGAAUGAUUGUGCACCAUCCUCUAAACACUCGAACGUGAUGCCACACUUACAAUUACUGUGAAAACUACCACUGUAGUUUUUCGCUGGGGACUAGGUGGUUCAAUAUCAUACUUGUGAGGCUGAUUUUCAUGAACUAUAGUGUCACGCCAUUUUUCUGUAUCAAACCAUGUAUAAUAAAAGAAUGAAAAAUCAA
Long non-coding RNA from Haliotis rufescens (red abalone), 3331 nucleotides. RefSeq lists it as uncharacterized. The record is from RefSeq and is a predicted model, not a curated record. The transcript has 3 exons. Lineage: Eukaryota; Metazoa; Mollusca; Gastropoda; Lepetellida; Haliotidae.